This is a non-coding RNA of Danio rerio (zebrafish), 116 nucleotides long. The record is from Rfam. Lineage: Eukaryota; Metazoa; Chordata; Actinopteri; Cypriniformes; Danionidae.
GUUGCAGGUAUGGAGACAUGGUGCCAAACACCAUCGCUGGAAAGAUCUUUGGCUCUAUCUGCUCUCUCAGCGGUGUGCUGGUUAUUGCUCUUCCUGUUCCCGUCAUCGUGUCCAAC